RNAcentral lists this long non-coding RNA (25860 nucleotides) under Marmota monax (woodchuck). The stretch from base 17443 to 17527 matches the Rfam family "mir-149 microRNA precursor family". Lineage: Eukaryota; Metazoa; Chordata; Mammalia; Rodentia; Sciuridae. The record is from RNAcentral.
GCGGGGGAGGCGCCGAGCUGGGACUGCGCGCUCGCCCGCCGCGCUCUGGGCGGCCCGACCGAGCGGCCGGACCUCGCGCCCCGCGCGCCCCAGCCGGCUUUUGUUGUCUCCGCCUUCUCAGCCCCGCCGCCUCGGGACCGCGAGCGGUGCGCGCCAGGACCUUGGCUCUGCCCUUCCCGGGCGGGGACUGCGUGGGGCUAGCCGGGAUCCGAGAGAGGCGCGCGCGGGCGGCCGGGGGCGCCGCCGGCCCCGCCAUGGAUCUGCGGGCCCGAGGCUGGUGGCUGCUGUGCGCGGCCGCCGCGCUCGUCGCUUGCGCCUGCGGGGACCCUGCCAGCAAGAGCCGGAGCUGCAGCGAAGUCCGCCAGAUCUACGGGGCCAAGGGCUUCAGCCUGAGCGAUGUGCCCCAGGCGGAGAUCUCGGGUGAGUGAGAGCGCGGCGCAGGGCCCAGCUGUGGGUCCCGGACCCCAGAGCACCAGAGGUCUCCUCUGCGCCCCCUGCCCUCCCUCUCGUGUGCACUGCGCGACCCAGGCGCUGGAGCCCGCCGCCUGCGCCCUGCCGCCUGGGCUCCGAGUGACCCCCAGCGCCCCCCCCCCUCGCCUUUACCCCCACGGUCCUCUCCCCAUACUUCGGCUUGGCCUGGUCGUCCCCCAACCCCCAACAGGCGUGUUGGUCCCUUCCUCGAGUUCUUCUCGCUGCCCCCCCCCCCCGCACGGAGCGCUCCUUCCGAGCAGCCUGCUCGGCCUAGUGUGCUGGCAGGGCGGCAGUCCCAGUCUGGGGCAGCGCGCCGGCCACCCUCGCCACGGGGCGAGCGGGAGCUGCGGAGCGGGCUGCCUGGGCGCUGCCGGGUCUCGGCGCGGUGGGGCUUUCGGGCGCAGAUGACCGGGAUCUAAAACUAGACUCCACUGUGGACCUCGCCGGGAGAGUCAGGGGUCCUGCCCAGGGAUUCCCGCGGAUCCCCAACAGCGACAGCCUAGGUGGGUUUUGUGGGCAGAUCCUCUCUUGAGUGGUGGUGGGAGAAGUGAUGAGCCGGCUGUGCGCUUCUGUGCGACCCGGGCCGUGGCUCGCAGGGAUUCCUGCGAGGAACUUGUGCCCGCUGGAGCCCAGCCCCCGCGAACGGGUCCUCGCGGCACUUGGGGCCGCCCGAAGCCGCGAGCCCAGCUGCAGGUGGUCGGCGCCUUGGAUCCCGCCCAGGGGCCUCGUCAUCUCUUUGUAAGAAGAGCGGCCCUCCUGGCGGCGGCCUCAUCCCUGCAGCUGCCUGCUGGACUGCCCUUCCCCUCCCUUCCCUGGCGGCUGGAGGAGCUUGGCGGACAGAAUUGUAUGUGAGCUUGGGACUGUGGGACCCUACUGUGCUCAGGAUCGCCCAGAUCCCAGGCUUCACAAGAACAUGAGGAGCCUCCCUAGGUCCACGAAGCAUUCUGGAGCCCGGUGACCAGGGUAGAGCAGGCCAGGGUCCUCUGGAGACCCUGGGGGUGAGGACGUGCCCUGGAGGGGCUGAACUCAAGUGGUGACCUGGGGAGUGUGGAACCACCACACUGUGGCAUCCUGAAUGAGAGAUAAGAGCAUCCUCCAUGGCGUGGAGGCAGAGGAGGCGGCCAGGCUCUGGACCUCUGCCUCACAGGAGGGGCACAGCCCACAGCCCUCCCCUCAGCCUGACUCUGUUGACAGGGCCCCUCUCGGUCCCCAGGACAGGCCUCCUGUGCUCCUCCUGGAGACAGUGCCUGUCAUCCUCAAGCCUGCCUCCUGUACCUCUCUGGUUCUGUUUGUCUGAGAGGUGGCACACCUGGGUGCCUGGCAGCACAGGGGCCUGGCACAGGCUGGCUAGUGCUCUGCCCACACAGGAACUUGUUCCCAUCCUGGCCUUUCUGUGGACCCCCCCCCCCCGGCACACACACCCCAGUGGCUGAGCAGCGGCUCCCUGACGCCAGCCUGGGGGCUUGGAGGGUGUUCUCCUGAGAAGCCAUCAAGCCACAGCCCUGGUGAACACAUCCAUGCCCCUCAGCUGGCACCUCCCCAGGGAUCUCCUGAACUUGCUGCUGUUCAAAGUUAGACACAGAGUGGCAGAGUGGGCAGCUGCCAAGGGCAGAGAGGGCAGGCUGGAGAGGUGGGGUGGACUGACCUGGAUGUUGCUGCCCAGGUAUGGGGAGCACUGGGUUAGGGAUGCAGAGCAAUUGCCUGAUGUCUGUGAUGGGUGCUGUCCCUCAGCCUGGACAUGUGGCUGCCUGCGCUGUCUCCAGGGUCACACUGGCCAUGGGCUGGAACCCGCUCUGGGCUCAAGUGCAUCCUCCUGCGGCAUGUAAGAUGGGGUGGGCUUUGGGCUUUUUGUCUCUGAGGGCCUGCCGCUCUCCCCAGAAGCUCCAUGACUGUACCCUGCUACGGUCCCCAAAAGAUGAGAGCACUCCACGAGGCACAGGACCGUGGAGAGACUGUAUGUGCCAUGUGAGUCCAGGGGAACAGGGUGACCUCCCAGGGGAGUGGCAGUCCUAGGGACAGCCAAGCCCACAUCCCCUCCUGCUCUGUGCCACCAGGCUCAGCCUCCUAGGACCGGGCGCCCUCUGGUGGCUCCUGGUGGCAGGGUCCUCCCGGGUGCCCUGGAUCCUGGGGGCCAGCGCCUUACUGGGGAAGAGGUCUCUCCUCAGAGGAUGUGGGCCUGAAGCCGGAGGCCUGCUGGUGUUCCCACUGGGCUCAGGUGGCCCAGCCUUUGGAGGGGCACCCAACACCUCCCCAAGGUUAGGAGGAGGAGAGCAGCCCAUGGCCAUCAGUGGCCUCCCAGCGGAGAAGGGGACACUGUCUGAGGAACUGGGCUCUGUGGGAGGUAUGGUGUACUUUGCUGGACAGCCUGGCCAGGCAGUGGUGACCACAGCUGCCUCUGAGGAAGCAGGCUUGGGGUGGCAGCCGAGCCAAGGCCACUGCAGCAGGCAGCCCUCUGGGCCCGGGUGCUGCACAGAGGGUGGAGCUGGCAAGCCCUGCUGAAUCACGGCCGCGGCCAGCAGGGUCUCUACCUGUGCUGGCAGGUUGUCUCGGGCCACAGGUGUUCCCUGAGCACCUGCCCAGCCUCCCGUCUCUGUGGCUUGUCCUGUGUCUGCUCAUUCACUGGGGUCCCUGGGGGCAGGGACUGCCACUGUCUGGUUCUCUGUUGUCACCACUGAGCGGUACCUGGCUGCUGGCCCUAAUUGGGUUCUCAGAAGACCCCUGUGGGCGCGCUUCUCGCCCACCAUGCUGGGGUGGGUAGGGUGGGUGGAGGGUGACUUGGAGUGCAUGCAGCCUUGUUGGCAGAGGAGGGUGGGCCCAGAGGUCCAGUAUUGGGAUUGGAGGUCAGAGGGGGCUUGCAGCUGUCCUGUGACUCCCCUGCUCUGGGGUGGCAGCCUGCCUGCCAGCCUGAGGGGCUCCCACAGCCCUGGGCCUGCACAGGAACCUCACCCCACCCUGGCCCUCAGCAGGAACGGACUGUGCAGCCAGAGCCAGGAUGGCGAGCACAGAUUUUUGAGGGGAGGAUCCCACGUUCCAGAAGAGGUGGUUCUGGCUAGUCCCAGAAGCCGCCCACAUGUGCUCCUUAGUUGAGCUUAGGGUGCCACUCAGAAGCUACCUGGCCCAUUGCCCCUCCCCAGAUUAGAAGGUUCUCUGUGCCCUGUCCUUUCCAGGCACAGAAGCCACCAUGUGGCUCAGCAGGGGUCUCCAAGGUAGUCCUCAGUUUCCGCUCUGCAACAAGAAGCUGUUCAUCAGGCCCAGCAUGAGGACCAGGCUUUGGGGCACCAGGGAACUGCCAUUCAACAGGGCCAUCUGCACAGGACAGGCUGCCUGUCCCUCCAAGUGGGGCCCUCUGCUCAGCCUCCCGGGUCUCUUCUCAUCACUCACGAGAAUGUGAACAGCCACAAUUGUCCCAAGGUUGCCAGCAGGCAGCCUCAGGCCCUGUCCCCACUCACCCCAGAGGCCUGAGGAGGCCGGUGCAAGCCCUCUCGGGUAGCAGUGUCCGGAAGCUGACAGCACUCACCAUGCCUGUCUUCCGGUCACUGUCUGGUCAGCAUGUUGUAGAGAGGGCCUGUACAGACCCAUUUCACACAUGAGGGAAUCAAGGCCCCGAGAAGCCACGUAACUUUCUUGGGGCUCAGGCUGAUUGACCCCAAGGCCUUUGGCACUAACCGCUGCCCAGUAAAGCAGCUCAGCCUGCCCUGUCCCUGGCUCCGUGUUUUCUAGAAGCCGUUGAGCCUGGAGGCCUGAAGUGGGCUUUGGCAACCUGGGCCCUGGAGACACCUGGCUGCCUCCCCACUCAGCCCGCCUUGGGUGCCACCACUUGGGAUUUGGAACUUGUUUUGACAGACACCCGCCAUCCUGCCUGGCUCCUGCCAGCCCUCAGGUAGAGGCCAGCUCUUCAGCUGUUUUGGACCAGCCACUCCAGCCCCAGCCAGGAGGGCCACUUCUGAGCACCAGGGUGUGCCCAGAGGAUGACCCAGCUGUACUGCUGGCCAGCCCAAGGAGACUCCCCCAACAGGUCCCAAUCAGGGAGAUACCAGCUGCCCCAAAUAGGCAAGGUCCCCAGGAAGGGUGGACAGACGUCCUGUUCAUAAGCGGCAAAGCCAGGGAAACUAGAUGGGUUGGUCUGUUGGUGGACUGUGGCCCCACAGUGGCUCUAAUGCUGGUGCUAACUAGGGACAGUGCAGGUCUGUGGUCACAGGCCUGCCUGGAGGGACCCAGGGCACAGAGCCAGGAGGAGGGGUCAGUGAGUGUGUGAACACACCUGUUGGGACCAUGGUGCCCACAGCUGCGGCAGGCACUGGUGAGGACACUGCAGAAGACAGGCUGGCUCAGGGCCCCAGGGCGUCAGGUCUGCCGUGCCCUGGGCUGUGUGCGCUAGGCAACGAGAGGCUGCCACUGUUCCCCCCAAAGCCUGGCUCCGAGUGACUUCAGGUCAGGACUCAGGACCCUUUCAGGCCCAGGGAGGGGGCCAGAGGGAUUCCUGUACCCAGUCCUAGCCUGGCCCAGUGUCUCCUGGUACGGACCCCAAGCUGCCCGUCCUGGGCACAGCCCUGUUCCAUGAGGGGCCCAGGCUGGGACCCCUGCCCCGAGCCCAGCGCCUCCCCUGGUGCCCACGGCAGCCAGACAGGCCUGGGCAGGUGCCGGAGCUGCUUGCAGUCUGUGUGGGGUGCUGAGGCAUGGUGCAUGGGGAUGCCCCGUCCUGAGUGGAGCACAGGGCCGCCGGGCUGAGGGGAGGGCUGCCCUGAUCCCCAGAGAGCAAGCCCGGGCCUCCCACCUGCUGGCCGUCCUCAGCGCCCGUGCUGGAGAGCCGCGGGCGAGGGCACAGCGACAGCAGGGCUUCCUGGGUGGGCUUAGGGGCCCUGGGGCCAGGCCAGCCUCAGUGUCUGCUGUGGGUCAGUGUCCCUCCCAGUGGCUCCUGGCUGCUCACCAUCCGGGUACACAUAGCGUCCCUCUAAGUAGUCCUCUGGUGCCCUCUGAGGGCCCACGCCCAGCUCCUCGUCCCUCGGGACCUCAUCCUCAGCAGUGUCCCUGGCCAGACACACUUGGGCUCCUGUUGACACUCCCCACUCUGGGCAGGCCUCAGUGCCCUUCAGGGUGGGGAUGUUCUGAGCGCCCCUGGUGUGCCAGGCAGGGGCUGCCAUAACCGAGCUGGCACAGCCAGGAAACUGCAGCCUCAUGGUCUCCCAGCUUUGCAGGCUGCAGGUCUGAGCCCCCGGGGUCGGUGGGUGGUUCCCCUCUGGCCAGCUCCUGGUUGGCUGGCACCUUGGCUUGUCAACCUACCUUCCUCCUCACAGGCUCCUCCCCACAUGCAUCUGUCUCCAGGUGUCCCCUCCUAUGAGGCCAUCAGUCCCCUUGGGUCAGGGUCCAGGAUGAUCUCAUCCUAACCAGUUACAUCUACAAGGACCCCGUCCCUAACGUGGCCCUAUUCUGGGUCCUGAGGUGCCAUUCAGCUCCCCGUGAGGGGGGUGCUGAGCCCGCCUCCAUCUCGCUAGAGACUCUGGACUCUGGGUGUUCAUGACUGUGGCCACCUGAGGACAGGGCCCAGCCUCUGCUGGUCUCUGGCACCCAGGCCCUGGUGACAGGCUCCUUGUCCCGCACACCCACAGCAGUCUGGGGCACAGCCUGGUCCCUGCCGACCGGGAGGCCUAACCCCAGCCCCCUUCCUCGGUGGGCCUGGGCUUCCCCCUGUCAGGGCCAGGUUGCUCUCUUUCUCAAGUCCUGGCCUGGUGGUGCUCCCCCAGUGACCCGAGCUGGGCCUGCUGACCGGCAUGGCCCAGAGCCAGCAGGGGCGGGCAGUGAGGAGCGGUCUGAAAACCCGUGGCGUGAGCCCUGGGACGCAGUGGUGUCAGCCUCGCACAGGCCCCGGGGUCCCCACCCGGGAGUGGGACAGCCUUCAAGCCAGCCCCCUGCUCAGCCCUCAGCUGGACUUUCCGGGGAGUCUGUGUGGUGCGCAGCAGAAAGAAGCCCAGGGCGUGUGGGUGGCGUCCUCUCCUGAGGUGGACUGGCCAGGAGGCCUGCUGCUCACUCGGGGCAAUGCUCCCUGGGUUCUGAAGGCUUGGCGGGGUGACAGGGCAGUCCCCAGGGCCUCCAUAUUCCUGCUCCUUGGCCGCCUGGCCUGCCCUCAGCCCCCAUAGGCUCCCAGAGGAGCAGUGGCUCUGGGUUCAUGGGGGAAGGAGAGCCAGCACAGAGAGGCCACCCGCUGCGAGCUGCCCACAGACCAGGCCUGGGUAGAAGCAGACAGAAAGCCAGGCCCCUGCAGGAGGCCGGUGCAGAGUGGGGAAGGCCAAAGCAGAGAGCGGCGGCCCCCAGGGUCAGCCCAUGGGCUCUGCCUUGCCAGCCCUGCAGCUGGGCAGAGAGCCCAGCCAGCCAGGGAGGUCAUGGGCGACACACAGGCAGGAUGGCCGGCCAGCGGGUCAGAACACAGAAGGCCAGGCUAGCCGACCCCCAGCCAGCCACACCUAGGUGGACCUCCUGAGGUCUGAGCUGGCCCUUCCAGUGGUUACCAGAUAGCUGAGCCCUGCUGUCCUGCCUCAUCAUGGGGGACAUGGGCGAGCUGGACAUACUGGGAGGCACGGGCCUCCAGCCUUGUGCCCCUGCAGCCCCGAACAUCUAGCUAGAGAUGUGGUAGGGUGGCCUGGGCACCUUCUGUACCCCCAGUCUUGCCCACAGCCCUGGGGACUGCCCUGGGACGCAGGGUGUGGGCACAGGUCUCCCUCCUGGGGACACCAAGGCCUUGGGCUUGGCUCCACCCUCCUGGUGGACAAUAUUGGACCAUGUCCCCGAGACACAAGGACAGCUGUCUGUGGGUGCCCGUCUGCCCGUCCUGUGUCUGGUGCAUCCUGGGUGUCUGAACUGUCCCUGCGGUGAGCCAUGUGUGACGUGCCAGUUUGUCCUCAGGUGUCUGGGCCAUGAGUGCCCCUGACGCUGUUGGGCCCCCAGGAUACCUGUGGCUGUCCGCCAAGCCCUGGGGAGCAGAUGAUGCCACUUGCUGCCAGGGUUGGCUCAGGUGCUCACACAUCUGUGCUGGACCAGGGCUUUAUAGGGCAGAGGAGCCCAGCACCACUCAGCUGGCAGAGCUGGGCGCAGCGAGCCCUUGGCCUACGUCAGGCACCCUCCCUUGCAGAGAGGCACCCCCAGUUGGUGCUGACCGCUCUAGUGGUGGGGGCUCUGGGCGUAGGGCACCUGGUCAGGCACCCUGCACGGGUCCCCCUGGGGCCACUCCCCACCAGGAAGUGCUGCCCAAGGGCCCCAGGCAUCUCGGUGGUAGGCACAGCCUGCUCUAGGCCUCUGUCGCAUGGUGGGCUCAGGAGAGGGACUCAGGGAGGCUUGAUGAGGGUCAGGUGGAUAAGCAGGUGGUCACUCACCUGGGCACAGCUCAGGGUCAGGGACAGAAUUCAGAGAUGACACAGGUGGCUGAGAAGGACUGACCCCUAACUGAGGGGCACCUUGGUGUUCCUGGGCCUGGGACUCAACCAACAGUACGAAAGGCGAUGUCACUGUGGCCGACCACCACAGCAUUGAAACUAGUUCCCCUGCAGCCCUCACCAGAGGGCACGGGCCCAAGGUGCAGAGGUCAAGCCGUGCUGGGCCGCGAGCGGGGCGGCCAGCCUGCGUAGCCCAGUGUGGGGCUGAGCAAGGGGUGUGCUCCCCUUGUGGAGGGGCACAGGCCUCGGAAGCACCCAAGGUUCCCUCCUGAGCACCUGCUGUAUGCAGAUGCCCCAAGGGUGUCUAAUGCCUCAAGGGUACCUGAGCGCCCACUGUGUGCCGAGCGCUGUUCUUGGUGCUGAGGUGAAGCCACCGAGAAGGCGCUCCCUGGCGCCCUGCAGUCAGCACCAGGACCGCGGAGCAGCGGAGGGUUUUGUGAGUGUCCUUGCUUAGACAGUGACCAGUGUUGCUCACGUCCUUUCAAAGCAAAAGGAAGGGAGUGAACCUCAGUGUCUGUGCUAGGCUCCCAGUCACACACCCACCUCGUGACACAAACCCUCCAGCUGGGCAGGAAGGAGCCUGCCUGAGGACAGGCCGGACCCCAGACGCAGCCCAGCCACUGUCCUGCCCAGCCACCUCUCCAGUACAGAGGAAGGGCCCAGCCCCAGGGCUGCCUGUGUGGGUCUCUGCCCGCGGGCUGCUCGUGCACCUGCCUCCCCGGGAGCCUGGCACACAUGCUCUCAGAGUGGUGGGCCGCAGGGUGUACUUGGCACGUUCUGGGAGAACACAAGAGGAGCCGUGGGGAAGGGACGAGGAGGACGGGACUCUCCUGGGCCGAGGAGCAGGAGAGGCUGGGGCGGGCCGGUGGGAGGCUGGAGCAGGAGGCUGUGCAGCCCCCUGUGGCCUGCUCCAAGGCCACACUGCAGAGAGGAGGAAGGAGGUCCACCCUCAGAGGGGGCCUGAAGCCCUCAGCACACGUCCACCCCUGGGGCUGUCCUGGAAGGGGUGGGCUUCGCUGGGCACAGAGCAACAGAGGUGGGGCCAGUGAGAGGGCCAGACUUGGUCCUGGGCAGGCAGGGGCUGAGGGCGUGGUGGCCAGGAGCAGGGAAGGACAACUGUGACCACAAGUGCACUCUGUGUCGGUGUGGGUGCCCGGGGGAUCCCCACAUCUGUUCCUGCUCUGAGCAGCCAUGAGUCCAGUGGGAGCUGCUCCUCCCCCAGAGCCUCUGUCUGGCGAGGCAGGAUGGACAGUGAGUGUGCUGUCAGGAAGGAGGACCUGGUGGCUGCCCAGAGGAGGUGGCCCGGCUGGAGAAGGCCAGGCUCGUGGCUGUGGGCCAGUGGUUUGUGCUUGUCCAUGUCAGCACACUGACUCUGGGAUCCGAGGAUAAAGGCCUACCAGGAUAAAGCCACAUCCUUGGCUAAGGGCUUCUCUCUUAAGGAUAGUGGCUGUCCUUGGUGGCCAUCAUCCUAGCAAGGAGAGGAUCCUCAAAGGAAUCCAAAGCCCAAUCUCCUGGUCCAGCUUGCCUGCCUGGACUCCAGUGCCAGCUCUGAACUCAUUUGCUGAGUGACCUUGGGCAGAUUACUGAACCUCUCUGCGCCUGUUGUGUGUCAUAUGGCUGGCACCCUCCUGAGACAACACAAGAGGAGCCGUGGGGGGGGGGGGCGGUAGGAGGAGGCCUGUUCUUUUUCCAAGUCCUGUCUCGUCCGUGUAGGGCGGUGGGGCCAGUGUGCAUCUGUCCAGGCUGAGGAGCUAGGAGUCUGGGAGAUCCUGGCCACUGUCACCACACUGCUGACUCCAGGAAGUCACCUGGGUCACCCUAACACGCAUUGUCGACACUGCUGUUUGUUUCGCACAGGGACUGACUGCCAGGGCCCUUCGGAGUGGUACUCACACAUGUCCCUGGGCACAGUGGAUUGGGGACAUGUGUAGCAGACCCUCUGGGGCCAGCAUGGAGGGUGGGGCUGGUCAGGAAGGGAGCGCAGGGUAGGAAGGGACAGGAGACAGUGCCGUGCGGCCUGGCCUGGGUGGCAUGCCCGGCCACCUCUGUGUGCUGCCUCUGACCCCAUGUGGGGACGGGCUGUUCCCUCCUCUCAGCUGUCCUCUGGGGCUGGAUGGGCCUCGCUGAGCCAUAGGCCCUCCUGCCCAGCUGCACCACAGAUCCAAUGUCCGGGUGCUGGCGUGCCUCCGGCCUCCGUGGGGACAUCCAGGUGCAAGCCCUGAGCCGAGGCGUGGGGAGGGAGCAGCCCCACCCUCCCACCUGCUCCCAGGACCCCCAGAGGCCAGGUCCCACCCCUGGGGGAGUGGGACAGGCAGCCCUUGUGCUCCUGGGGAGGGCCCUUCCUGGUGGGGGCUCCUGCAACCUUGAGGAGCCACUGGUAGGCACCCCAUAUGUCCUUGAGGUCCCACCUGAGGGUGCUUCAGGUGAGCUGUUCUGGCCAGCAGUGACAGUGCGGGCCCUUGAGGGCAGCUACCUGGCCCCCAGUGAGGUCCACUGGACCCUGGUUUUACAAGGCAGGCCUCAUCUCCACACGGCAGUGCUGGGCCCCAGCCCUGGCCAAGCCUGGCACUCACUCCUGGGGAUCAGCAUCAGCCCAGAGACGGCGACCACGCAGCCGCCACAGGACACUGUGCCUGGGCCUGUCUGUGCCUGGGUCCUACCUGCCUGUGGGCAGGCUGAGGUGAGGGAGCCAGGGCUCCCCGGUCCACACCGCCUCCAGCAGCCUCCGCAGGGUGUGAGGACCAGGCCCAGAGCCACAGAGGUGUGUCUGUACAGCAUGGGGCUCGUGACUCCAGGAAGGGCCUGCCCGCACCCCACAAGGACAGGUAGACACAGGACAGUCCAUUAAGUGGAGAUGGGUGUGACUCAUUCUGCAGCAUGACACGUCCCAGACAUUUUAAUUCCAAAUCAGGGACAGUUUUCAGUGUGAGCAUGCCCACGAAUGUAACUCAGUGGGUCCCAAGUGUUUUGAGGUGACUGAGGAUUGUCUGCUUUCCCCAAGGUAAGCUGUCCACCCCGGGAGGCUGGCCACCUGGCCUGUUUUUUUAGCGCAGUGCAAUGGCAUGAAGCACAUUCACGAGCUGUGCGGUGUCACCACCAUCCAGAUGACUCGUAAAACUGAUGCUGCCCCUGUUAAACACAGGGGCUUGUUCCCCUGGCCAGGUCCUUACAGCCACCAUCUGCCUUGCGCUCUGGGGGCCUUGUGUGAGUGGAGACAUCCAGUGCUUGUCCACCAUCAUACUGUCCUUGAGGUCCAUCCAUGAUACAGCGAGCGUCGGGAUUCCCUCCUUUCAGGGCUGAAUAGUAUUCCAUUCUGUGGAUCUACAGUGUGUUCAUCUAUUCAAGGGCUGGGUGACGCCUCUUUCCACCUCUUGGCCCUUCCUUUCCNGUGUAGGGCGGUGGGGCCAGUGUGCAUCUGUCCAGGCUGAGGAGCUAGGAGUCUGGGAGAUCCUGGCCACUGUCACCACACUGCUGACUCCAGGAAGUCACCUGGGUCACCCUAACACGCAUUGUCGACACUGCUGUUUGUUUCGCACAGGGACUGACUGCCAGGGCCCUUCGGAGUGGUACUCACACAUGUCCCUGGGCACAGUGGAUUGGGGACAUGUGUAGCAGACCCUCUGGGGCCAGCAUGGAGGGUGGGGCUGGUCAGGAAGGGAGCGCAGGGUAGGAAGGGACAGGAGACAGUGCCGUGCGGCCUGGCCUGGGUGGCAUGCCCGGCCACCUCUGUGUGCUGCCUCUGACCCCAUGUGGGGACGGGCUGUUCCCUCCUCUCAGCUGUCCUCUGGGGCUGGAUGGGCCUCGCUGAGCCAUAGGCCCUCCUGCCCAGCUGCACCACAGAUCCAAUGUCCGGGUGCUGGCGUGCCUCCGGCCUCCGUGGGGACAUCCAGGUGCAAGCCCUGAGCCGAGGCGUGGGGAGGGAGCAGCCCCACCCUCCCACCUGCUCCCAGGACCCCCAGAGGCCAGGUCCCACCCCUGGGGGAGUGGGACAGGCAGCCCUUGUGCUCCUGGGGAGGGCCCUUCCUGGUGGGGGCUCCUGCAACCUUGAGGAGCCACUGGUGGGCACCCCAUAUGUCCUUGAGGUCCCACCUGAGGGUGCUUCAGGUGAGCUGUUCUGGCCAGCAGUGACAGUGCGGGCCCUUGAGGGCAGCUACCUGGCCCCCAGUGAGGUCCACUGGACCCUGGUUUUACAAGGCAGGCCUCAUCUCCACACGGCAGUGCUGGGCCCCAGCCCUGGCCAAGCCUGGCACUCACUCCUGGGGAUCAGCAUCAGCCCAGAGACGGCGACCACGCAGCCGCCACAGGACACUGUGCCUGGGCCUGUCUGUGCCUGGGUCCUACCUGCCUGUGGGCAGGCUGAGGUGAGGGAGCCAGGGCUCCCCGGUCCACACCGCCUCCAGCAGCCUCCGCAGGGUGUGAGGACCAGGCCCAGAGCCACAGAGGUGUGUCUGUACAGCAUGGGGCUCGUGACUCCAGGAAGGGCCUGCCCGCACCCCACAAGGACAGGUAGACACAGGACAGUCCAUUAAGUGGAGAUGGGUGUGACUCAUUCUGCAGCAUGACACGUCCCAGACAUUUUAAUUCCAAAUCAGGGACAGUUUUCAGUGUGAGCAUGCCCACGAAUGUAACUCAGUGGGUCCCAAGUGUUUUGAGGUGACUGAGGAUUGUCUGCUUUCCCCAAGGUAAGCUGUCCACCCCGGGAGGCUGGCCACCUGGCCUGUUUUUUUAGCGCAGUGCAAUGGCAUGAAGCACAUUCACGAGCUGUGCGGUGUCACCACCAUCCAGAUGACUCGUAAAACUGAUGCUGCCCCUGUUAAACACAGGGGCUUGUUCCCCUGGCCAGGUCCUUACAGCCACCAUCUGCCUUGCGCUCUGGGGGCCUUGUGUGAGUGGAGACAUCCAGUGCUUGUCCACCAUCAUACUGUCCUUGAGGUCCAUCCAUGAUACAGCGAGCGUCGGGAUUCCCUCCUUUCAGGGCUGAAUAGUAUUCCAUUCUGUGGAUCUACAGUGUGUUCAUCUAUUCAAGGGCUGGGUGACGCCUCUUUCCACCUCUUGGCCCUUCCUUUCCAGUGCUGUACCCUGGUGCUCAGGUGUCUGUUCAGGUCCCUGCUAUCAAUUUUGACACUAAAACUUUAUUCAUUGUUCAUCUCAAAUUCAGAGGUCUCACUGGUGCCAGUGCUGUUAUCAGCCACCCUUCCCUAGUUGUGCCUGCAGGGUGGGGCCGGGCUGCGCUCAGGAGCCCACACACCUGCCUGCCUGGGCGGCCACCGCCCCGGGCCCGGAGACCGCCCAGGCCUCUGCAGCCUCGGCAUGUCUGCUCCUGCUUCCCCUCGCCUGCCUGCUGAGGAAUUCCCCGGGAUGGAACCCCGGGAGGGAGAGGGGCUGUGUGUCUGGGCCACUCCUACAGUGGCCUUGGGCACACCUUGACACACACCUCAUGGUUGAAGAGGAUGUACAGAGUGCCUCUUGGUGGGGCCCUGGGGACCUCCCCUCGCAGUUCCCAGCUCCCCACACCACAGGCUGCGAGGGACCUUCGAGGGGGCACCUGCUUGAGGGGAAGGGGGGUCUGAGUGUGUGGAGGGGCCUGGUCCCCCAGUGCCCACACGGGGUGUACACAAGUGCUCAGCACCAGGUCCCGCCAGGGCUGGACAGAAGCCAGAGGAAGGAAGUGAGCUUCCCCUGGCAGAAGGAGGGACCCAGGAAGGACUGGUGAGCCAGCCCAGGGGGAAGGAAGGGGAGGGGGUGAACAGGUCAAGGCUGUGGGGGAGGGGUGGCUGGACAGCCGGGGAGUGGCCCAGCCCCUGCUCCAGCCUUUCACCUGCACCUGCUCUGGGCUCUGACGCAGCCCCGUCUGUGCACAUGGCUGUGGCCUUUCAGCACCCACAGGGCAGGCGUCAGGCCCACACUGUGUCCCCUAAUGCAGCUCCAGAGUGUCCAGUGUGGACACAGCAGAGGGAGCAGGAUCCGUCCGUGUGUGGGCCUCCUCAGCUGCUCUGUGUCCCAGCAGGGGUGGGGGAGGCAAGCUGUACCCCGAGAGCUCUGCAGUGUGGCCACUCUUGCUCCCCCACACCUGAACCCCUACCCUGCCCCUGCUUGGCUACUGGGACAGGCCCCAAGGGAGCGCCCCCAGGCUGCUUGGCCCGGGAGGAGAGACCAGGGCUGAACUUGGCCUGUGAGUGGGCUGCCCAGGACACUUGGGGCUUGCCUCAUCCCCAAUGUGUUCUGAGGCCAAAGCAUGAGCCAUGGACACUGAGACAACUGGCAGCUGAGGUGGCCUGCUGGGGGGACCUGGUGCUUCCGGGCAGGAUGGCCUGACCAGGGGUAUCCCGUGCAGGUAGCAGGAGCUAAGAGGACAGCCUUUCAUGUUGAUCUUAGGGGGUCUUAGGUGUGUGUCCGGCCUUGGCAGGGGACCUGUGUCUCCAGGUCAGACUGCCAGUAGGCUGAGAAGGCACCGGGACGGUAGAGGCGUGUGAAGGGGUGUUCUCCCCAGCCGGUGGAGACAGGGAGCAGCUGCCGGAUGGUGUCCCGCAGCCGCGUGGGGAGAGGACAGCUACAGCAUAAACCUCACAGGUGGGAGGGUCACCUGGCGGAUGUGGGGUCUGGUAUUUUUGAGGAAAAGCAGAUGCGGAUAUUGGGAGCAGGUGAUUAUGGAGGGAGGUCCAGGUGUCCUGGGACUGGGGCCGGUGGAGGCUGUAGGGUACCUAGGUGGCUUUUUGAGUGCCCAGACAGCACUAGGGAUCUGCUUGAACAGCAGAAGAACUCCCUCCUGUGGUCAGCUGCCACUCACCAUGCAGCAUAGAUACCUGAUCCCACCCCUCCCCUCCCUGGAGGCGCCUGGCUCCAGGGAGCACCUGGCGGGGGCGGGGCAGCGCCUCGGAGCUGGGCGGGAGGACUCGGGGCGGCCAGGCGCGGCCAGCGGUUUCCAGGGAGACGGGCGGCGCCGACGCAGCGGGCGGGCUGCGGGAAGAGGCGCGCCCCCGCGCCGGGAGCCGCCCUCCGCCGUGCGCGCCAGUGCUGCUGCGGCGCUGCCCCUGGCUGCGGUGGCCACCGAGUCUCCAGUGUCCGCGCCCGCCGGCCCGUGUCCCCCAGGUCCUUCCAGCGAGUCCGUCCGGCUGCUCCGCGUUUCCCCGGCCGGGCCCCUUUAGGCCCCACGCGGCCUCACCCGGAGCCCCGCGCCGCCUGGACACCACCGCAGCUUCUGGGGACGAGCGAGCUGGAGCCGCCGCUGCCGGAAGGGGGUUCCGAGCCUCGGCCCGGAGGCGCCCGCCGCCAUCCCCAUCCCAGCCGCCACUCAUCUCCACCCCUCCUCCUGGCCGUCCUCACCCGCUGUCCCUGUCACUACCGCCCCAGUCCCAUCUUCAGCCCCAUCCAUCCUCAUCCCUCUCCAUCAGGAGCGCGGUCGCUGGCCUCCGGGUCCCCUCCAUCAGCCUCCGCAGCCUCGCUGCACCCGGCCACCCACCCCCUCUGCUGCUGGCAGUCGGCUCCCACUUCACCCUGUCCCCAUGUCCCUCGCGGUCGUACCCCGCGGCGCCCCGCCGCUCUCCCCGCCCCCACCCUUCCUCUGCACCCCCUCCUGCCGCGAGCCCCCCUUCCUCGUCCACCCAGCCCAUCCCCCUCCGCAUGUCGCAGCCCCGGGAGCCCCCUCCCGGUGCCUGCCGCACCCACUGCGGCAAGCCCCUUCCCCGCCAAUCGCGGCGCCCUCCCGCCCCUGCUCUGCCGCAGCCCCCGCACCGCCGCCCCUCCCCGCUGCACUUCCAGACCCUGUACCUGCUCCGGCUCCACGGCCCUCGGUCCGAGGGCGAUGGCGGCGGCGGUGACAGCCCCUGGUGUCUCGGAGCCUUUGUUGCUGGCGGGGCGGCGUGGUGGUGGUGGGUGGUGGCUGGGGUGGGGGUUGCGUGGGGCGCCUCCGGGCUGGGGGUGGGCACUCCCUUCGGGCGGCGGGGUGUCCGGUUUGGUCUUCCCUCGGUGCUGGGGUGGUUUCCCGGCGGCGGGGGUCUUUGGUUGUGGUGUCGUUGGGUGUAAUGGGGGCGGGGGCUUUGGAUCGUGAGAUUGUCCGGGAGGGAAGCAAAGCACGUUUGGGGGUGCAGACAGGGAUUGAGGGGUGCUGUUGAAGCCAUUUGUGAGGAGUGGAGGUACCAAUUUGUCUGUCUCCCGAUGGGUGCUAUGGUGCCUUCCUGGUCAGACAGCCCGUGCUCAGGUAGGACCCCCACAGGAACAGGCCAGAGGUGCAGGCUUCUUGGGGAACAGGGGCGAACACAGUAAAGAGGUUCCCCCAGGAAACCUUGGCCAUUUGUCUCGUGCUCCCACUCCUGGCAGGGUCAGGCUGUUGCACGUGGGAAAAUCCUUUGGAUGGAGUCCAGGGGCAAAGUGGGCACCCGCAGGCUUUGGGAAGAGGACUUUUGCUGGGGAGAGCCUCCUGCCCUGGUCAGUCAGGCAGAAGGCCACUGUGGGGAUCCAGAGCUUGCGGGAGGGGGGUCUGCUCCUCUCCCUUGGCAUGUUUUGGUGUCCAUGGUGCCUAGAGCUGUCCACCCUGAUCUGUGAGUGCAAAGCGCCUGGGGGUCUCAGCUUCCUGUCUCCACCACCCAUGUGGAAGCUUCUGGAGGAAAGGGCUUGGCCAGGCGCCAUCUCUCUGCAGUCUCCUUGGGAGGGCUCCAGGGUGCCCGUAACAGGCAGCUGCCCACGUAGACCAGGAUAAAUGAGGCCAUGUCCGACAUCAGAUGGCGACCCUGUCGGAUGGCAGUCUUGGCUACAGCGUGUGCUGACCACGAGGACCAUGGGUGGGCUGCUCAUGCCCAGAGACACAGGGUUGGAGCAGCCGGGGCAGCAGGGUCUGGCCUAGGAGAUGUCUAAGCCGCGGCUGGUAAGGGUCUUGCCGAGAAGCAGCCUGGGGUGAGCCCAUGUGGUCUGAAUGUGGAGGGAAGAGAACCAGAGGGCAGCUGGGGUGGCUUGGAAUCAGGAACCAGACUUUGAGUCUGAAGAGACGGGUGGAAACAAGCCUGCCAGGAAUAACACCCCACCCCCCAAAAAAACCAAAAACCUGGGAGUAUCGGAAAAGGGAAGUAUCCCAAAGACGAGGAAGAGAAAGUUCUAGAAGGAUGGGGUAGAACAGAUUCAGCCAAGGGAUCAAGAAAGAAAAAAGAUCAAGGGACAGGUUUCGGCCCAGCAGGAGGCAGCGUGAGAGCUGGACCCGUACAGAGGGAGGGGUCUUUGGGGGGUGGCUCCUGGGUCUGGGAAGGAGGGCUUCUGCGGACUCACUCUUCAGCCUGGGCCAGGAGGUGGAGAACACGCAGGCACAUGCUUCAGGGCUGAGUUGAGAGAAGGGGUGGAGACUUGCUCAGACAAGUCAGACACAGGUCACUGUCAUCCAGACAGCUGCCCCCACUGCCACAGCUUGUGUUCCUGAAGGUUCAGGGCUGCCUCGGGGACACACAUCCAGAUUCGCCCACGGGUCAGGGUCUGGCUGGGCCAGGGCUCAGCACACAGGACGGAAGCCUUCUGCGCAGCGGGCCUCAGGGGUGGCCUGGCCCAGCCUGCCCGGGGCCCUCAGGCCGGCGCCCAGGCUCUGGCUCCGUGUCUUCACUCCCGUGUUGUCCGAGGAGGGAGGGAGGGACGGGGGCUGUGCUAGGGCGGCCGGAACAUCGCAGGUCACCGGGCCGGCUGGGCGAGGUGGCCGGGCAGGGCCAGGGCUGCAGAAGAGGCUACAGGGAGGGCCCUGCUCCUGAUGGCCGGCCAGCCAUGCCGAGGAGACCCUCCCAGAACCUGUGCAGGAUGGGGGAGCACCAGUGCUCUUGGGCUCCAGUGGCCUGGCCUCACCUCUGCAUCCACCUCCUCCUGGCUGCAGGUUGGGUGGGAUGGGGUCCACUAGGACCCCAGCAUUCGGGAGGGAGAGCACAGUAGUGUGGUUUCCUCCUGGCAGCCCCAGUCCUUGGGCCUCUGACCUGUCUUGGCCCAGCCUGAAGGUGCUGGCCUGCCUACCUGCAGCACAUGCCUAGCAGCUGGCCCGGGUGCCCUGGUACAGCUGAGCCCAGGGUGUAGACUUAAGGCCCAUGCUGACACCUGCAGCCUCCUGCCCGAGGCACGCUCCCUGGCUUGAUGUCCACCCAGCACCACCAGGGGCCCAGCCCUCAGGGUGGAUCCCCCCAGGUGCUCUCCCCACCCCUCCUGUGGAGGGGGGACAUCCUUGCCUAGCUGAGGCAGCGGGACUCAAGACCGGCCCCCCAAGUAAACAUGACCCGUCCUCACACAGUCCCGUAGCGGUGUCCCUUGUCUGCCGAGCCCAGAUGGCCAUGGCCAUGGAUGUGGGGGAGCUGCGGUUUCUGCAGACUGAGUCGAGAAGGCACCGGGCCCCACUGAGUCAGGGUCAGUAAGACUGCAAGAGUGGAGGGCGGCACUUGGUGCUGACGGAGAUUCUGUGCCUCAUCCUUCCCACUGGAGGGGACCGGGGUGCCCUGUCCACCAGGCUCUGACAGGGUGGACCUGGGACCCCAACAGGCCCCCACCUGAAAGGCCUGGCAGCAGCUCAGACCCCUGCCCCCCAGCAGGCCUCUGGCUUAGCAGGGUGUGGCCAGAGUGGGCACCUAGCUCCUGGCCCUGUCUGCCCAUCGGUCCUGUCCCUCCCCAGGUGGGAGCUUGAUGGCAUGCCCUUUCCUGGACAUGGCCCCUUCAAGGAGCAGGCACCCCAGGUGGGGUGAAGGAGGGUGACAGGUGGGGGCCUGGGAGCAGCACUGCUCACGUGGUCAGCACGUGCUUCUUCCCGUCCGGCCUCCUCUGAAACACCCACCUACAAUAGCCCCCUUUCUUCUGAGACCUGCUUGAACCGGGGGUGUCCCUGAACAAGGACACCACUUCUCCUGUUCUCCUGCCAGCCUUGCUCCCCAUCUCUGAGCUCUCGGCUGUGAGGUGGAGGCUCCCUGGGGGCACUGGGGCAAGAGCCUCAGAACGGGACAAGUCGGGGCUCCAGGCUGAGGCUCCAGCUGUGCUGAAGGAGGGGCCGUCCGUCCAUACCCCAGGAGGGCUCUCCUGGCCCCUCUGCCCCCACCAGGCAGCCUGGCACCUGCAGCUCGUGACCAUGUUGGGUCCAGGGCAGAGGCCACAGCAGGAGCCCAGACGGUCUGGUUCCCUCCACUUUCAGCUUCCCCUGGGUGCCCGUCCUCCUGGGUGCCCGUCCUGAGCCCUGUGCAGUGUGGCGCCUGAAGCCAGGGCUCUGCAGGGUGAAUUCAGCCUGACUGCAGACGCCUGACUCUCCAGCCCCAGCUGGCUUGGGGGGGAGGCAGCUGCCCCAGGCCCUGCAGGUGGCCUGAGCCCCUCUUGUGGCUGGCUAGAGGCUAGUGGACCUCUCUGUCCACAUCCGAGGCUCAGGUCCCGGUCGGCAGACCUCUGGGCCCACCUCCCAGCAGAACUGCACCUUCCCAUGCCCCCUCUGGGUCACCUUGAUGCCCUCUGCCUACUAAGGGACGGGCAGCUGUGAGCUUCCCACCCUCGAACUUGGGUCCCCAGACCCCUCCCCACUCCCUCCUGGACGCAGAGGUUGGGCCUGUUCCUCCCAUGUCUUCCCAUGACCCCACUCCGCAAGGGUCACAGCCACACUAGGCUGGCCCCAGCACCCUCCAGUCACUCCUCCGCUGCCUGGUGGGUGCGCACCAUCCCACUGGCCCUCCCUCCACCCCGACCCAGGAGGGCACCAGGGGAGCCCCACCAGGUGGUAGUGUGGCCUGGUGGACAGGCCCAGGGGCCCCUGGAACAGAGUGGCCCAGCGGGUGUGGGCCUGAGCCCAGUCAGUCUGAGCAGCUCGGUCUCCUCACGAGGCCAGGAACCUUGGUCCUGGUCUGUACAGCAAGGUCCUUUAAAACUGGAUCCUGGGCCACGCACUUGUCCCUGGUAUUAAACAGCCACAUGUGCACCGUGGGCUCUGUGGGGCCAAAGCCUGCCCUCGUCCCCCGGGCGGUUGGCGGUCAUGCUGUGUGGCACCGUCCUGAUGGUGCUGCUGGAAGCUGACGCCCAGCAGAGCAGGGUACCGGGUACCCAGAGGGCCCCGUCAGGGCCGCCGUCCGUCCCCUCCACAGCCCGCACCCAGGUGCUGUGGGGUGUCUGCCUCACUGGGCACUCCACAAGUUCUGGUCUGCCAUCCUGUCCAGGAGAGCCCUGGGCAGCCUCGGCCCCUUCUCGCCCUCACGCCACCCUUCCCCACAGGGGAGCACUUGCGGAUCUGCCCCCAGGGCUACACCUGCUGCACCAGCGAGAUGGAGGAGAACCUGGCCAACCGCAGCCGCACAGAGCUGGAGACGGCACUUCGCGACAGCAGCCGGGCCCUGCAGGCCACACUGGCCACCCAGCUGCACGGCAUUGACGGUGAGUCUAGGGUUGGCGGCACGCUCCUUCCUGCAGGGUCUGAGCCAGGGGAUCUGGCAGGAGGAGGGAGGCAGAAUGAGCGCCUCGGAGCUGGGACUUGGGUAUCGCUAUCAGGAGAGGGCUGCCCUCGGGUGGGGCCUGAGUGGGGGACAGACAGGGCUCAACUGCAGCCUGAUCUCUGUGCUGGAUCAUGACACUCAGAGCUAAGGCUUCUGGGGUCUGAGCAGUUACAGACCUUAAGUUCUACUUCUAGAGAGAACGGGGACUCUCCAGGCCCCAUCCUGGGCACAUGGGGUACAAGGGCAUUUCCCCAAACUGUGGGGUCUGCAGUACACGCUUGUACCUGUCCCCCCACCCUGCCAGGAUGUGUCCAUCGGAGGCACAUGGGGCCUCUGGGGCCCAACCAGCCUCUGCAGCCUGGCAUCUGGCUCUGAUGACCACACGCACAGUGUCUCCCCGCUGGGCCCUCUUGUCCCCAUGGGCUGCCAGGGUGUUGGGUGGAUGGACAGAGAGCAGGACCUCUGAAGGCCGCCCCGCGCUGUGUGUGCAGGUCACUUCCAGAGCCUGCUGAACGAGUCGGAGCGCGCACUGCAGGAGGCCUUCCCGGACGCCUUCGGGGGGCUGUACACGCAGAAUGCCCGGGCCUUCCGGGACCUGUACGCCGAGCUGCGCCUCUACUACCGCGGAGCCAACCUGCACCUGGAGGAGACGCUGGCCGAGUUCUGGGCCCGCCUGCUGGAGCGCCUCUUCAGGCAGCUGCACCCCCAGCUGCUGCUGCCCGACGACUACCUGGACUGCCUGGGCAAGCAGGCCGAGGCACUGCGGCCCUUCGGGGAGUCCCCGCGGGAGCUGCGCCUGCGGGCCACGCGGGCCUUCGUGGCGGCACGCUCCUUCGUGCAGGGUCUGGGCGUGGCCAGCGACGUGGUCCGGAAGGUGGCCCAGGUACACACGUUGCUAAAUGUCCCUGUGCCCUGCCCCAGACUCGGCCCCUGGCAGCUCUGCCCUGUCAGCUGUGUCCCCAGGCGUGAGCUCCACUCUGGGCCAGAUGGCCAGCCCACUUGCUGCCCAGUCCUGUCUUGGGCCAGGCUGCGCCCUGGGCAGAAGGGGAAGGGCCGGAGGCCUAGGGCUGAGGCUGGGCCUGGCUGGGGGCUCGGGAUCCACUGGGGGUCCGACACACUCGUGCGGCUGACACGGGUGGGGCUCUGAGGCCUAGGCAGGCCGCCCUGGAAGGGCAGAGGGUGCCUGCUACACCCCUGCAGCCCUGGAUGUGAGCUGCCCCACCUCCAGCCAGGGUCCUUAGCGUGUCACCCCACCGCUGAGCCUCGAGUUGCUCUGUGUGGUAGGGCUUUCUGCGUCCCACCAAGGGUCGGUGACGAUGGUGUGCUGGGAGUGGUGACCAUCCUGACGCCUUCCGGGACCUGUACGCCCUGCAUGCCCAAGCUGGCUAGGCACGGUCCCCCGUGUGUCAGGCAGAGCUGGGGUCACCUCUGACUCCAUGCAGAGCCCGCCGGGGCUUGGUCAUGGCUGCAGCUCACCUCGUCGGCCGGGUGUGCUCAGGUAGCCUUUGCUCCCCAGGUGCCCCUGGGCCCCGAGUGCUCUCGAGCUGUCAUGAAGCUGGUCUACUGUGCCCACUGCCUGGGGGUCCCUGGUGCCCGGCCCUGCCCCGACUAUUGCCGAAACGUGCUUAAGGGCUGCCUGGCCAACCAGGCAGACCUGGACGCCGAAUGGAGGAACCUUCUAGGUGAGCCCCUGCCUGGCCUUGGGAGCUCUCCACUGUGGACCUGGGAGGCAGGUGGUCCCUGCUCAGUAGGGAGACCCAGGGCCAGAUCUGGGUGGGAGUGUGGGGUUGAGUGUUCCGACUGGUAUGUGACCUGGGGGAACACUGUGGGAUCCUAGUUCCUUGUCCUGCCCCACUGAGCAGCCUCCAGCACAUGCAUGAGCUACGUACAGGCUCUGACACGUGGGAGCUGGCACACACACAGUCCGGCAGGUACGUGUGCUGUCACGUGUGUCUAUACACCCACGUGCUGCCGUCGGUGGGUGACCCAGCAUGCCCAUGUCCAUCUGCUGGCAUGUGAGUCAGCACACACACCAACACACGUCAGCCUGCAAGAGCAAGGCGGGCGUCAAGUGGGUGGGAAAGGUGCCCACACCGUGGGCAUCACAUGCAGUGCCCGCGCGUACGUGCCGACGCCUGUGACGUCACGGUGUGAGACAGAAACUUACCAAACGUGUAAGCUCUCAGUGCACACGGCCUGCACAGGUGGGCGCGUGUGGAUGAGGUGGGCCCAAGGACCACAGAUGUCCUCUGUUGGCAUGAGCUUGUGCCCUGGGUGGGCUGUGGGUGUGUGCCUGCCGAGUGCUGGGCCCCCACGGGGAGCAAGCCCCUGGAGCCCUGCUGUGGACCUGCACUGACCCCUGCCUGGCGUGUCUGUGCGGGUCAACGUCUGUCCAGACUCCAUGGUGCUCGUCACCGACAAGUUCUGGGGCCCGUCGGGAGCAGAGAGCGUCAUCGGCAGUGUGCACAUGUGGCUAGCAGAGGCCAUCAACGCCCUCCAGGACAACAAGGACACACUGACGGCCAAGGUUCGGGCAGGGGCAACCAAGAGCAUGGGGGGGGGGGCGGGCGUUGCUGCUGUGGCCCACCUGGGCCCGAGAGUCCCUGCUGGCCUCCAGGACCUCUGUGGUGUCUAUAGGUCAUCCAGGGCUGCGGGAACCCCAGGGUCAACCCCCAGGGCCCUGGGCCUGAGGAGAAGCGGCGCCGGGGCAAGCUGACCUUGCAGGAGCAGCCCCCGACAGGCACGCUGCAGAAGCUGGUGAGCGGCCCCGCCCCUGCCCUGAGUGUGGGGAGGGCAGGGUGGCUGCAGGCUGCCCAGUGACCUGACUGCUGCCUGGCAGGUCUCCGAGGCCAAGGCCCAGCUCCGAGACAUACAGGACUUCUGGAUCAGCCUCCCAGGGACGCUGUGCGGUGAGAAGAUGGCCAUGAGCUCUGCCAGUGAUGACCGUUGCUGGAACGGGAUGGCCAAGGGCCGGUAGGUGCUGCCUCGCUGGCCGUGUCCUGCACGUGGCUUGCAGCAGUACACAGGAAGUGGGGCGGGGGGGGGGGCAUGCCUUUACCCAGACACUUGAGGGUAGAGACCCCACACUAGGGCUGUGUGGCUGCCACUGGCCCCUGGAGGGCCGCUGGGUGCCUCCAGCUGGGGGUCUUGGGCCUGGGGGUGGGCAGUGGGAGCGUGUUCUGCUGGCACGGGCCCCUUUGCAAGAUGCAGUGACGGGGGCUUUGCCUGAUCUGCCUCAGGUACCUACCCGAAGUGAUGGGUGACGGCCUGGCCAACCAGAUCAACAACCCCGAGGUGGAGGUGGACAUCACCAAGCCAGACAUGACCAUCCGGCAGCAGAUCAUGCAGCUGAAGAUCAUGACCAACCGGCUGCGUGGGGCCUACAGUGGCAGUGACGUGGACUUCCAGGACGCCAGUGAGGGUCCCGGCCCUGACGGUGGGGCUGGGCGCUGAUAACCAGGGGUCCCAAGGGCUGUGAGGGUCUGCUGCUGGGCGGGGACACCACGCCUGUGUCCCUGCAGCGGCUGAGGCCCGGCAAACCCAGGAGGGCCAGUAGCACUGGACCACAGCAGUCACACUGGACCUGGGCCACACAGAGAGCCAUCGGGUCCCUGGACACGGGGUCUCUGGGUAGGGGCAGCUGCUGGAGUCCCCUCUCCUCCCCAGGUGAUGACGGCAGUGGCUCAGGCAGCGGCGGUGGCUGCCCUGACGUCAUCUGCGGCCGGAGGGUCAGCAAGAAAAGCUCCAGCUCCCGCACGCCCUUGACCCACGCCCUCCCCGGCCUGUCCGAGCGAGAGGGGCAGAAGACCUCGGCCGCUGGCCGCCCCCAGCCCCGUGCCCUGCUCCUGCUCCUGCUCCUGCUCCUGGUUCUCGCGGCAGCCAGGCCCCGGUGGCGGUAACUGCCACGGCCCAGGGACGAGGCCAAGGACAGACUUUGCCAAAACGCAAAACAGGAUAUUUAAUUCCCCUUGGCCUGCAGAGGCCCAGGGUAGGACGAGGGGACAGUGGCUCUGUGUGCUGGGCAGGGUGCGUGGGGCCCCAGCACCCAGGCCUGGCCUCACCUGCCACCCUGGCUUUUAAUUUUGUAUGAGGUCCUCAGGUCAGCUGGGAGCCAGUGUCCCCAAAAGCCAUGUAUUUCAGGGACCUCAGGGACAUCUCUGGCUGCCCGUACCCCCCCACCCCUCCCAAGGCCCAUGGAGGAGGUGACCCUUAGCAACGUCCCGCUGGAGACCUCGAGCGAGCCUGUGCCUUCCUCGCUGCCUUCUGCCGGGGACUCUCUGCUGGACCUCCCUGGCUUCACAUCAGCAAGGCCCACCCCUCCGCACCCCCAGGGUGUCGGGGGCCCCUGACCAUGCUCUGGCAGGGCCUCUGAGCUUAUGCAUGAUGCCUCCCACCCAGUGGGGCUCUGAAGCCAGGGCCCACUCUCCCUGUGUCGCCUCAGAGUCCCAGUGGACGCAGUCCACCCUUGGGGCCGUGCCAGCACAGCCAUACCCCGGCUCUGCUAUGUUGACCUUUUGCUUGUGGGUGGGGUGCUGUCCCCACCACCCAGGGAAGCAGAGGGCCUGCCCCUCACUUGUGCUCACAUACACAGGCCUUCUGGGGCCAGGUCUGCAAGAGGAACCCCACUUCUGGGGAGUAGCCAGCCAUUCCUACCCCACCCCACCCAGACAGGAUGGCCCUGGGGCUGCGGGCCAGGGCAUAGCCUGACAGUCGAGGGCUUCUCCAGCACAUGCACAUUCAAACACUUCUUUCCCUGCCCCGAGACCUGCACCUCAGUCCUCCUGAAGCAUUGGAGGUCCUGGAGCCCAGCUUGGACCCUGGGGCCCUUCAGUGGCCCUGGACUGAGUGUGCCCAGCUCACUGAGGGCAUCGGGCCCUCGGGCAUGGGCAAGUCCUCCCCGUCUCCAGGCCCAGAAGCCAGCAAGCCCUGGAGCAGGGACUGGCGUCCUAUAAGAGGGGCCCCUGCACGGCGAAGGACGACAGGGGGCAGACACCGAGUUGCCACAGCCAGGGACAGUCGUUCCGACCCACACGGGCCUUGAGAAGGUCACUCAGUGCUUCUUUGAUCUCUGCUGCUGGGCCGGGGGGUCUUCCCACCUGCACAGUGGGGGAGGCUGUGGGUGCUGGUCCAGCCCCUUGGCACAGGGUGGGAGACUCAAGCUGGUCCUUGGACGUGUUGGGUCAGGCCCUUGGGACCCCUGCCCUGUAAGAGCCCCGUAAGUGCCAUGCAGGCUGAGGUGGCUGGAGCCGACCCAAGCCCCGGGACAGAGGACCCAGUCCUGGGAGGCAGCAGUGACACUGCCCGUGAUGGCCAGGGGUGACACCCCGCACUACCCCACAUGCUUCUCUGGAAGGGGCAACCCUGAGCAGCCACUGGUCAGGGCAGUGGCCCAGCCUGCUGUGUCCUUCCUCAUGAGGCCCCUGGUCACUCAGUGCCAGCAGGUCGCCAGGUCACAUGUGUCGAGUCCUUGUAUGAAUAAAAGGCUGGAGACCCACACAGGACAAAGCCUCAUGUGUGGCUCUGAGCCUGCCUCGUGCCACCCAGCAGAGCGCGUGUGA